AAACGAGAAGAGAAUAGAGGAUAAACCGAUUCGAAUGCACACCCCUAGGUCAAACAGUUAGAGCAUCAGCUCUUUAAUCGAGUGAGCUGAUAUAUCUGAGUUCAAACUUGUUGGAGGCUAUUUUCUCUCGAACAAAAUGAAAAUCUAUGUUAAUAUCACUGCUGGGGUUACGCGGUAUUCUAACGGCCGUAUCAGUUGAAAAGCAUAUCUUCCUGCUUCUCCUUCAUGUCUUGCAUCACUAUAUCUGCUAGCUACAUCACUUUUUCUUGAUUGGAUAAGUUGCAAAUCAUUUUGUACAAUAUUUGAUGACAGAUCUAAUACGCGCUAGUUGUUCCAUGGCAUGUUAGUUUACCCAGAGUUGAAUCGAGGUUAUGCCUAGAUCAGGUAAAUUUUUAACCUUUGGUAUCUAAUCAAACAAUUAUAAAUGCAGUCUAAUCUAUAUCUAUCUAUAUAAAAAUAAUUGAGGGACUUGGACCAGUUACGUGGCACUCCUAUUUGGCAGGAAAUGCAUUUUCCUGCCUCUAUGUAUUUUUCGGAUUUUACACUUCAAAAUUUAUUGCCAAAACACGAAAAGUCUCUUUACACUAUGAACGAACCGCUUCCCAUCCACAACGAUUCUUUUCUUCCCACAAACCAUUCUGUUUCCAUACUUAUUUCUCUUUCCAUACUCUAUCAAUUCUAUCAGUUACUCAGUAGCCUUUCAUCGAUAUUUUUUCUCCUCAUCUUCUCUGCCUUUACUUUGUUAAAUUUCUCUACACUAAUCUUCUUUGUUCUUUUUUGGGGGAAGGAAAAAAUUCGUUAAUUCACUGGUAAUCACUAUAUUUUUCACUCACCAGAAAAUUCCUCACCAAAUGCCAACUUCGCCGCUAAUGAAGUAUUCGAAGAAAAACAUAUCUCGCCCACGGUCUCAGCAAAUAUUGAUAUUCACUCCACAACUACCGGCCUAUAAUUCAAAACUAAUCUAUACAAUCUAUGUGUCAUUCUUAUAUAUAUAAAAUUUGUACACCCUAAUCUAAUUAUAUAGGUGUGGCAGACAAGGAUUACGAGGCCAUAACGGCGUGAAAAGAUUCAGGUACAGUCCAAAGCACUGCUAUGCUUUUUCCGCAAUUCAUAACUUAUGGUGUAAGUAUUCCAGAAUCCUACAAUUCUUUUUCCCUAAUUCAUAAAUAAGGAUCUAAAGAUUCUAAAACACUUUAAAAAGUUUGCAAAAAAACAAAGAUUCUUCACUACUAUGAUUUUUACACUAUGGUGUAAAUAUUCUUAAAUACUUACUUGCCUACUAAUGGUGCAAAAAUGUUGUUUUACUUCUAUUUUUUUGGGAUCAAAUCUCGACAACAGUAUUUUUAAAUGUUGAUUAUAGCUUACUUAUAUAGAUUUUAGACUAUUUUAUAUUUUUAUCGUAGCCUUCGAAAUUGGUAUUGGAUAAUUGUUCUCUGCACUUUUGUAUUCUGCUUGCAGCCAUAUAUGCAUUUUUAAUAGCUGCAACAUUGUAAUGACCUGGAAAAUAUAUUACUAUUAUACAGCAAAAUUGUAAUGGCCGUUGUAAUGCUUUCUAAUUUUAGUUUGAAUAUAUAUAGAUUCUCUAUAUUAUAUUGUCGUGCUUUACUCUUGUGUGUUCUACUUGAAGAUCAUAUGCAUCUAUAAUACAAUAAUAAAAGACUAAUGAUUAGAAAAAUACUUUUUCCCAGCAAUAUUGUAGAUGUUAGGAAAUUUAUUCUUCAGUUUUCUUAUAUCUUGCCUUUUAUCCAUUAUUUAAGUGCUCAGACGCGCCUCUUUUUGCUCCUUCAAAAGUCACGCCUCUUACUCUUCUAUCUCAAUUUUAACCACACAUCGUUUCUCUUCCUCUUAUUUCCUCCAAGCCAAAGCAAAUCACAUAUUUCUUUUAACCAUACGUCGUUUUCUCAUUUUUUUUGUUUGCUGCAUUAUGAAUUAAUGUGUAUUUACCUUUUGUGUGUUUGACAUUUAAACUGAUGAGUUUAUAUGAUGAUCGGUUAAUAUAGACUUCAAGUUAAUUUUAAACUAAUUAAUAUAGUUUUCCAUGUGCUUAUAUCGUCCUAAUAUAUAUAGCUUAUCUUUUAUCAUAGAGGAUUCAUGCAAUGGAUAAUCACUGACCAAUUGAUAGCGUUAUCUUAAGAAUAUACAAAGAGAACUAAUCAAAGACUACUAUUUUCGUUAUAAUUCAUGCAAGGACCUUGAGAUACGUCAUGAUGCUAUCUUUUCUAUACUCUACUUUGUGAGAUGAUCUGGUCAUUUUUACGAGUAACUUUUGUUUUGGUUAUCAAUAUAUUCAUUUUUGCAAAACCAACUUUUUAGUUUAAUUUUAGUAAUCAGAUAUUUAGAAAAGCUUGCGUGGUAAAUUCAAUAAUAUAUUACCUAUAUAGGUUAUACAAAAAUAACAAAAAAGUUAGAUGACUAAAAACUCUUACAUGACAAAAAAAUUAGAGAAAAAUAAAAUAAAAAAGUGUUAAUAACAAAAUGGAUUAAAAUAUAAGUAGGAACAAAAGGUAAGGUGACUUACUUAUGUGAAAAGUCUGAUAAAUAUUAUUGUUUGUAAUAAUUAAUAUCACAUAUGACCAAUAUUUGCAUCUAAUACAAUUACUAAUUUAUAUUAUUAUCUACAAUAAUUAUAAUUAAUACUCCUAUAAUAUUAUUUAAGAGCAACAUUUAACGGGAUUCAAAGGCCUAAUUUAUAAAAGUUCAAAAAUUUAUAUAUGUGAUAUUUUUAUUUGGAUUUUCUUUUCUAUUCUAAUUUUUUCAUACGUAUAUCUUACAUUUUUUUUGUUGGUGUUACGAAAAUGUUCUCAUUUAUUUUGAUUUGACUGCGCGAAGUGCAUGCUAUUUAACUAGUUUACAAAUAAAGGGAGAGGAUAAUCUGAUGAUUUCUUAUUAGGUUUUCUAAAUCUUUAGUUGGUUAGUUUUCACAAUGUAUUCAUAGUGGUAUGUGCAAUUCCCGCAAUUAUUACCUAACAAUUUGUUGGCUUUUGCCAUAUACAUAACCAAACGCGAUCAUAAUCUUACUAAGUAUUUUGCAUUGCGUUUUCAGUAAAUUAUAAGAGAUGACCUCCUCUGCUACAUAGGUCAUAUAUCAUCAUCCUUGAUUUGUGAGCCACGGUUAACUUUCGUGUUGUUUCACCUUUGGAAACAAAAAUGAAAUUAUAUUUGUUCGCUUUGUGUAGGCCAGGUUGCCUGAUGUGAGCAAUAAUGUAUGUGUAUCUUGAGGUUGCAAAAUUAGAUUACAACAAAUGCGAAAGUCAACAUAUAUCGAUCGGCAUAAUUUUUACAUAUAAAAGAAAAGUAAUUAAGGAAAUAAAAUGGUAUUUCCCCUCACAUUUCCUUUUUGGACAUGACUGCAGUCUGCAUAAUGAACCGGUGGUUUGAAAACUGCAAGCUACAGGAGAUAAGACUACACAAAAAAUCCCUCCUAAAUGCUUAUUUCUUAAUUAGCUGCACCCAGUGUAUUUAACCAGAAUUGCACUAAACAUUGC
Molecule: long non-coding RNA, 3485 nt
Filed under: Nicotiana tabacum (common tobacco)
Lineage: Eukaryota; Viridiplantae; Streptophyta; Magnoliopsida; Solanales; Solanaceae
Description: long non-coding RNA (NTAB_LNC001776)
Source: RNAcentral